Molecule: ribosomal RNA, 460 nt
Filed under: uncultured bacterium
Lineage: Bacteria
Description: partial 16S ribosomal RNA
Rfam family: Bacterial small subunit ribosomal RNA
Source: RNAcentral
CCUACGGGUGGCAGCAGUGAGGAAUAUUGGUCAAUGGACGCAAGUCUGAACCAGCCAAGCCGCGUGCAGGAAGACGGCUCUAUGAGUUGUAAACUGCUUUUGUACGAGGGUAAACGCAGAUACGCGUAUCUGUCUGAAAGUAUCGUACGAAUAAGGAUCGGCUAACUCCGUGCCAGCAGCCGCGGUAAUACGGAGGAUUCAAGCGUUAUCCGGAUUUAUUGGGUUUAAAGGGUGCGUAGGCGGUCGGAUAAGUUAGAGGUGAAAUCCCGAGGCUCAACUUCGGAAUUGCCUCUGAUACUGUUCGGCUAGAGAGUAGUAGCGGUAGGCGGAAUGUAUGGUGUAGCGGUGAAAUGCUUAGAUAUCAUACAGAACACCGAUUGCGAAGGCAGCUUACCAAGCUACUACUGACGUUGAUGCACGAAAGUGUGGGUAGCAAACAGGAUUAGAUACCCCUGUAGUC